RNAcentral lists this ribosomal RNA (369 nucleotides) under uncultured bacterium. RNAcentral's name for it is "bacterial SSU rRNA". It matches the Rfam family "Bacterial small subunit ribosomal RNA", at positions 335 to 698 of the family's 1533-position model. The record is from RNAcentral.
ACUCCUACGGGAGGCAGCAGUCGGGAAUUUUGGGCAAUGGGCGAAAGCCUGACCCAUCAACGCCGCGUGAAGGAUGAAAUCCCUCGGGAUGUAAACUUCGCAAGAACAGGAAGAAUAAGUAGGGGACAAUACCCCCUAUGAUGACGGUACUGUUUGUAAGCUCCGGCUAACUCCGUGCCAGCAGCCGCGGUAAUACGGGGGGAGCAAGCGUUGUUCGGAUUUACUGGGCGUAAAGGGCGCGUAGGCGGCCACCGCAAGUCGGUUGUGAAAUCUCUGGGCUUAACCCAGAAAGGUCAACCGAUACUGCGGGGCUAGAGUGCAGAAGGGGCAACUGGAAUUCUCGGUGUAGCGGUGAAAUGCGUAGAGAUC